UCGGGAAUUUUGGGCAAUGGGCGAAAGCCUGACCCAGCAACGCCGCGUGAAGGAUGAAAUCCUUCGGGAUGUAAACUUCGCAAGAACGGGAAGAAUAAGUAAGAGUUAAUAUCUCUUACGAUGACGGUACUGUUUGUAAGCUCCGGCUAACUACGUGCCAGCAGCCGCGGUAAUACGUAGGCAGCGAGCGUUGUUCGGAGUUACUGGGCGUAAAGGGUGUGUAGGCGGUCCUCUAAGUUUGGUGUGAAAUCUCCCGGCUCAACCGGGAGGGUGCGCCGAAAACUGGGGGACUAGAGUGCGGGAUGGGAGAGUAGAAUUCCUGGUGUAGUGGUGAAAUGCGUAGAUAUCAGGAGGAAUACCGGUGGUGUAGACGGCUCUCUGGACCGCAACUGACGCUGAGACACGAAAGCGUGGGUAGCAAAC
RNAcentral lists this ribosomal RNA (423 nucleotides) under uncultured bacterium. Its description in RNAcentral is "bacterial SSU rRNA". It matches the Rfam family "Bacterial small subunit ribosomal RNA", at positions 355 to 773 of the family's 1533-position model. The record is from RNAcentral.